This 647-nucleotide ribosomal RNA is filed under the name Pseudomonas sp. RNAcentral describes it as "bacterial SSU rRNA". It matches the Rfam family "Bacterial small subunit ribosomal RNA", at positions 77 to 720 of the family's 1533-position model. The record is from RNAcentral. Lineage: Bacteria; Pseudomonadati; Pseudomonadota; Gammaproteobacteria; Pseudomonadales; Pseudomonadaceae.
AGCUUGCUCUUCGAUUCAGCGGCGGACGGGUGAGUAAUGCCUAGGAAUCUGCCUGGUAGUGGGGGACAACGUUUCGAAAGGAACGCUAAUACCGCAUACGUCCUACGGGAGAAAGCAGGGGACCUUCGGGCCUUGCGCUAUCAGAUGAGCCUAGGUCGGAUUAGCUAGUUGGUGAGGUAAUGGCUCACCAAGGCGACGAUCCGUAACUGGUCUGAGAGGAUGAUCAGUCACACUGGAACUGAGACACGGUCCAGACUCCUACGGGAGGCAGCAGUGGGGAAUAUUGGACAAUGGGCGAAAGCCUGAUCCAGCCAUGCCGCGUGUGUGAAGAAGGUCUUCGGAUUGUAAAGCACUUUAAGUUGGGAGGAAGGGCAGUAAGAUAAUACCUUGCUGUUUUGACGUUACCGACAGAAUAAGCACCGGCUAACUCUGUGCCAGCAGCCGCGGUAAUACAGAGGGUGCAAGCGUUAAUCGGAAUUACUGGGCGUAAAGCGCGCGUAGGUGGUUUGUUAAGUUGGAUGUGAAAGCCCCGGGCUCAACCUGGGAACUGCAUCCAAAACUGGCAAGCUAGAGUACGGUAGAGGGUGGUGGAAUUUCCUGUGUAGCGGUGAAAUGCGUAGAUAUAGGAAGGAACACCAGUGGCGAAG